Molecule: ribosomal RNA, 504 nt
Filed under: uncultured bacterium
Lineage: Bacteria
Description: bacterial SSU rRNA
Rfam family: Bacterial small subunit ribosomal RNA
Source: RNAcentral
AGAGUUUGAUCCUGGCUCAGAUUGAACGCUAGCGGCAGGCUUAAUACAUGCAAGUCGAGGGGCAGCGACGGUUAGCAAUAACUGGUGGCGACCGGCGCACGGGUGCGUAACACGUAUACAAUCUACCUUAAACAGGGGGAUAGCCUUUCGAAAGAGAGAUUAAUACCCCGUAAUAAAUUGAACGGCAUCGUUUGAUUUUGAAAGCUCCGGCGGUUUGAGAUGAGUAUGCGUCUGAUUAGCUAGUUGGUGAGGUAACGGCUCACCAAGGCGACGAUCAGUAGGGGACCUGAGAGGACUAACCCCCACACUGGUACUGAGACACGGACCAGACUCCUACGGGAGGCAGCAGUAAGGAAUAUUGGUCAAUGGAGGCAACUCUGAACCAGCCAUGCCGCGUGCAGGAUGACGGCCCUAUGGGUUGUAAACUGCUUUUAUACAAGAGAAAACCCUGGUACGUGUACCAAGUUGAUAGUAUUGUAAGAAUAAGCAUCGGCUAACUUCGUG